CGUAGGAACCGAGCGUUGUCCGGAUUUACUGGGCGUAAAGUGCGCGUAGGCGGUCCGUUAAGUCUCAUGUGAAAUCUCCCGGCUCAACUGGGAGGGGUCAUGGGAUACUGGCAGACUGGAGUGCAGUAGAGGAAAGCGGAAUUCCCGGAGUAGUGGUGGAAUGCGUAGAUACCGGGAGGAACACCAGAGGCGAAGGCGGCUUUCUGGGCUGUAACUGACGCUGAGGCGCGAAAGCGUGGGUAGCAAACCGGAUUAGAUACCCGGGUAGUCCACGCCCUAAACGAUGGAUACUAGGCAUGGGGGGUAUCGACCCCCUCCGUGCCGCAGCUAACGCAAUAAGUAUCCCGCCUGAGGAGUACGGCCGCAAGGCUAAAACUCAAAGGAAUUGACGGGGACCCGCACAAGCAGCGGAUCGUGUGGUUUAAUUCGAUGAUAAGCGAAGAACCUUACCAGGGCUUGAAUGCUUCUGACCGGCUGUGAAAGCAGCCUUUCCUUCGGGACAGUUGCACAGAUGUUGCAUGGCUGUCGUCAGCUCGUGUCGUGAGAUGUUGGGUUAAGUCCCGCAACGAGCGCAACCCCUGUCGCUAGUUAGGAUGUCUAGCGAGACUGCCCCCACUGGGGUGAGGAAGGUGGGGUCGAGGUCAAGUCAUCAUGGCUCUUACGCCCUGGGCUACACACACGCUACAAUGGUCGGAACAGAGGGUCGCGAUGGUGCGAGCCGGAGCUAAUCCCAAAAAUCUGGCCCCAGUUGGAAUUGCAGGCUGAAACCCGCCUGCAUGAACGCGGAGUCGCUAGUAAUCGCAGGUCAGCACACUGCGGUGAAUACGUUCCCGGGGAUUG
RNAcentral lists this ribosomal RNA (840 nucleotides) under uncultured bacterium. Its description in RNAcentral is "bacterial SSU rRNA". It matches the Rfam family "Bacterial small subunit ribosomal RNA", at positions 526 to 1383 of the family's 1533-position model. The record is from RNAcentral.